CCGUUCAAGACCAGGACGUUGAUAGGCUGGGUGUGUAAGCGUUGUGAGGCGUUGAGCUAACCAGUACUAAUUGCUCGUGAGGCUUGACCAU
The sequence is a ribosomal RNA, 91 nucleotides long. It matches the Rfam family "Bacterial large subunit ribosomal RNA", at positions 2835 to 2925 of the family's 2925-position model.